Molecule: unclassified non-coding RNA, 205 nt
Filed under: uncultured Lepiota
Lineage: Eukaryota; Fungi; Basidiomycota; Agaricomycetes; Agaricales; Agaricaceae
Description: sequence contains ITS1
Source: RNAcentral
UUGAAUAACUAUGGUGGGUUGUCGCUGGCUUCUUGAAGCAUGUGCACACCUGCUGUCUUUAUCUACCCCAUUGUGCACCACUUGUAGUCUUGGAGGGAACUGUGACUCUUAUGUCCUCCUUCCAGGUCUAUGUCUUUUUCACAGACAUUGUAGUAUGUUUAUAGAAUGUGGUCAAAAGGGGCCUUUGUGCCUAUAGAACUAUAUA